UACGUAGGGUGCAAGCGUUGUCCGGAAUUAUUGGGCGUAAAGAGCUCGUAGGCGGUUUGUCGCGUCUGCUGUGAAAACCCGAGGCUCAACCUCGGGCCUGCAGUGGGUACGGGCAGACUAGAGUGCGGUAGGGGAGAUUGGAAUUCCUGGUGUUGCGGUGGAAUGCGCAGAUAUCAGGAGGAACACCAAUGGCGAAGGCAGAUCUCUGGGCCGUAACUGACGCUGAGGAGCGAAAGCAUGGGGAGCGAACAGG
This 253-nucleotide ribosomal RNA is filed under the name uncultured bacterium. RNAcentral's name for it is "partial 16S ribosomal RNA". It matches the Rfam family "Bacterial small subunit ribosomal RNA", at positions 524 to 776 of the family's 1533-position model. The record is from RNAcentral.